GACGAACGUUUGCGGCGUGCUUAACACAUGCAAGUCGAACGGUAAGGCUCCAGCUUGCUGGGGUACACGAGUGGCGAACGGGUGAGUAACACGUGGGUGACCUGCCCUGCACUUCGGGAUAAGCCUGGGAAACUGGGUCUAAUACCGGAUAGGACCGCACCGUGAGGGUGUGGUGGAAAGUUUUUUCGGUGUGGGAUGGGCCCGCGGCCUAUCAGCUUGUUGGUGGGGUAAUGGCCUACCAAGGCGGCGACGGGUAGCCGGCCUGAGAGGGUGGACGGCCACAUUGGGACUGAGACACGGCCCAGACUCCUACGGGAGGCAGCAGUGGGGAAUAUUGCACAAUGGGCGGAAGCCUGAUGCAGCGACGCCGCGUGGGGGAUGACGGCCUUCGGGUUGUAAACUCCUUUCACCAUCGACGAAGGGUUUCUGACGGUAGAUGGAGAAGAAGCACCGGCUAACUACGUGCCAGCAGCCGCGGUAAUACGUAGGGUGCGAGCGUUGUCCGGAAUUACUGGGCGUAAAGAGCUCGUAGGUGGUUUGUCGCGUCGUCUGUGAAAUUCCGGGGCUUAACUCCGGGCGUGCAGGCGAUACGGGCAUAACUUGAGUACUGUAGGGGAGACUGGAAUUCCUGGUGUAGCGGUGAAAUGCGCAGAUAUCAGGAGGAACACCGGUGGCGAAGGCGGGUCUCUGGGCAGUAACUGACGCUGAGGAGCGAAAGCAUGGGGAGCGAACAGGAUUAGAUACCCUGGUAGUCCAUGCCGUAAACGGUGGACGCUAGGUGUGGGUUUCCUUCCACGGGAUCCAUGCCGUAGCUAACGCAUUAAGCGCCCCGCCUGGGGAGUACGGCCGCAAGGCUAAAACUCAAAGGAAUUGACGGGGGCCCGCACAAGCGGCGGAGCAUGUGGAUUAAUUCGAUGCAACGCGAAGAACCUUACCUGGGCUUGACAUAUACAGGAUCGCGCCAGAGAUGGUGUUUCCCUUGUGGCUUGUAUACAGGUGGUGCAUGGUUGUCGUCAGCUCGUGUCGUGAGAUGUUGGGUUAAGUCCCGCAACGAGCGCAACCCUUGUCUUAUGUUGCCAACACGUUGUGGUGGGGACUCGUAAGAAACUGCCGGGGUUAACUCGGAGGAAGGUGGGGAUGACGUCAAAUCAUCAUGCCCCUUAUGUCCAGGGCUUCACACAUGCUACAAUGGUCGGUACAGUGGGUUGCCAGUCCGUGAGGGCGAGCUAAUCCCGCAAAGCCGGUCUCAGUUCGGAUCGGGGUCUGCAACUCGACCCCGUGAAGUCGGAGUCGCUAGUAAUCGCAGAUCAGCAACGCUGCGGUGAAUACGUUCCCGGGCCU
This 1341-nucleotide ribosomal RNA is filed under the name uncultured bacterium. RNAcentral describes it as "16S ribosomal RNA". It matches the Rfam family "Bacterial small subunit ribosomal RNA", at positions 28 to 1381 of the family's 1533-position model. The record is from RNAcentral.